Molecule: non-coding RNA, 93 nt
Organism: Mesocricetus auratus (golden hamster)
Lineage: Eukaryota; Metazoa; Chordata; Mammalia; Rodentia; Cricetidae
Source: Rfam
AUAUACACUCUAUUAUGUAUAAAUGUAUACACACUUCCUAUAUAUGUCCACACAUAUAUGGUGUAUAUAUUAUACAUGUAUAGGUCUGUGUGU